CUUAGUUCUGGGCGCCGCGCGCUACACUGAUCAAGUCAACGAGUUUACAACCUUGGCCGGAAGGUCUGGGUAAUCUUUUGAAACUUGAUCGUGCUGGGGAUAGUCCAUUGCAAUUAUUGGACUUCAACGAGGAAUUCCUAGUAAGCGUGAGUCAUCAGCUCGCGUUGAUUACGUCCCUGCCCUUUGUACACACCGCCCGUCGCUACUACCGAUUGAAUGGCUUAGUGAGGCUUUCGGAUUGGAUUUUGGCAGCUGGCAACAGCAGCUUGGAACUGAAAAGUUAUCCAAACUUGGUCAUUUAGAGGAAGUAAAAGUCGUAACAAGGUUUCCGUAGGGA
This 337-nucleotide ribosomal RNA is filed under the name uncultured fungus. RNAcentral describes it as "SSU rRNA". It matches the Rfam family "Eukaryotic small subunit ribosomal RNA", at positions 1472 to 1812 of the family's 1831-position model. The record is from RNAcentral. Lineage: Eukaryota; Fungi.